This 449-nucleotide ribosomal RNA is filed under the name uncultured bacterium. RNAcentral's name for it is "partial 16S ribosomal RNA". It matches the Rfam family "Bacterial small subunit ribosomal RNA", at positions 29 to 523 of the family's 1533-position model. The record is from RNAcentral.
AACGAACGCUGGCGGCAUGCCUAACACAUGCAAGUCGAACGAGAUCUUCGGGUCUAGUGGCGCACGGGUGCGUAACGCGUGGGAAUCUGCCCUUUGGUUCGGAAUAACAGUUGGAAACGACUGCUAAUACCGGAUGAUGACGAAAGUCCAAAGAUUUAUCGCCAGAGGAUGAGCCCGCGUAGGAUUAGCUAGUUGGUGUGGUAAAGGCGCACCAAGGCGACGAUCCAUAGCUGGUCUGAGAGGAUGAUCAGCCACACUGGGACUGAGACACGGCCCAGACGCGUACGGGAGGCAGCAGUGGGGAAGAGUGGGCAAUGGGCGAAAGCGUGAUCCAGCAAUGCCGCGUGAGUGAUGAAGGCCUUAGGGGUGUAAAGCUCUUUUACCCGGGAUGAUAAUGACAGUACCGGGAGAAUAAGCUCCGGCUAACUCCGUGCCAGCAGCCGCCGUAA